Molecule: ribosomal RNA, 491 nt
Filed under: uncultured bacterium
Lineage: Bacteria
Description: bacterial SSU rRNA
Rfam family: Bacterial small subunit ribosomal RNA
Source: RNAcentral
GAUGAACGCUAGCGCCUUGGAAAGGAAUACAUGCAAGCCGAGGGGCAGCAGCUUUAUAGCAAUAUAGAGGCUGGCGACCGGCAAACGGGUGUUUUUACCCGUACACAACCUUCCUUGAAUAGGGGGAUAGCCCAUAGAAAUGUGGAUUAAUACCCCGUAAUAUAGCGGUGUGGCAUCACACUGUCAUUUCAGUUUCGACGAUUCGAGAUGGGUGUGCGGCUGAUUAGGUAGUUGGCGGGGUAAAGGCCCACCAAGCCUUCGAUCAGUACCUGAUGUGAGAGCAUGAUCAGCCAUACGGGCACUGAGACCCGGGCCCGACUCCUACGGAAGGCAUUUUUUAAUGAAUAUGGGUCAAUGGACGCAAGUCUGAACCAGCCAUGCUGCUUGAAGGAGGAAGGUCCUCUGGAUCGUAAACUUCUUUUAUAGGGGGCGAAAACAGGUCUUUCUAGAUCACUUGACAGUACCCUUAUGAAUAAGCCCCGGUUAUAUCU